CGCGGCCUAUCAGCUUGUUGGUGGGGUAGAAGCCUACCAAGGCGACGACGGGUAGCCGGCCUGAGAGGGCGACCGGCCACACUGGGACUGAGACACGGCUCAGACUCCUACGGGAGGCGGCAGUGGGGAAUCUUGCGCAAUGGGCGAAAGCCUGACGCAGCGACGCCGCGUGGGGGAUGAAGGCCUUCGGGUUGUAAACCUCUUUCAGCAGGGACGAAGCGAAAGUGACGGUACCUGCAGAAGAAGCGCCGGCCAACUACGUGCCAGCAGCCGCGGUAAGACGUAGGGCGCGAGCGUUGUCCGGAUUUAUUGGGCGUAAAGAGCUCGUAGGCGGCUUGUCGCGUCGACUGUGAAAUCUCAGGGCUCAACUCUGACAUUGCAGUCGAUACGGGCAGGCUAGAGUUCGGUAGGGGAGACUGGAAUUCCUGGUGUAGCGGUGAAAUGCGCAGAUAUCAGGAGGAACACCGAUGGCGAAGGCAGGUCUCUGGGCCGAUACUGACGCUGAGGAGCGAAAGCGUGGGGAGCGAACAGGAUUAGAUACCCUGGUAGUCCACGCUGUAAACGUUGGGCGCUAGGUGUGGGGGGCCUCUCCGGUUUCCUGCGCCGCAGCUAACGCAUUAAGCGCCCCGCCUGGGAGUACGGA
Molecule: ribosomal RNA, 643 nt
Filed under: uncultured bacterium
Lineage: Bacteria
Description: bacterial SSU rRNA
Rfam family: Bacterial small subunit ribosomal RNA
Source: RNAcentral